CCAGGAAACAAAAUGAUUCCAUUGAACUUGAAGUUAAGAGUGCCACCCAGUCAUUUGGGGCUCCUCAUGCCUCUAAAUUAACUGCCAAAGAAAGUUAUCAUGCUGGCUUGAAUGGUUGAUACUGGUCUGGCUGGAUUAUCAAGGAGAAAUUAGACUGCUACUCCACAAUGGAGGUUCAACCAAGAUGGUGUCCUGGGUAUAGUGGAAGAGGAUGUUCUCUGGGAUGCAGAGAUUUCCCUGAACAAGUCCAUCACAGAGAGCAGGAGAGUCUGGCCUCUUCAGAUGUGAGCCAUCAUUAAGUUCAAAUUCACUCCACCAUCCACGCAAACUGUGAGAGCUGCUCCAUGGUGCCCAGAUCAGCACAUUCAGCUAGAAUCUCUUGUCACUGGAGAAGCUGUCUGAUUCUCUGAACAUGACGCAAGCCUUGCAGUCACCACCACCAUGAAGGUCAGAUACAGCACCCAAGGCCCUUGCACCUCUGCCACCACCGUGAGAAGUACGUAUCCUGGCCAGCCUGCUGACUCAGGAGGUUGAGAAUCAGGUGCAGCAUACCAGAGCACUGCUUCAGUGUCAGGGUAGAGCUGCUCCAUGACCCAGAGAUUCAUAAGAAAAUGCUGGGAAGGAAUAAUUUGGUGGAGACAAUAUUUCAUAUUAUAGGAUGCAUAAAGGAAAGAGAAUGUGUUGCUAGACGUCAUUGUCAUGGUGGCAGGAGGAAUUUGUUAAACUUCAAAGGAAUGCCUGUUUGUCAUAAAGCCUUUAAAACAAGAUGGCAUCUCCUAUGUGGGAGGAGUGAGGUUUGAUCCUGUGGAAAAUAAACUUAGCUGACAUUUUCAAGUGCUUCUUGUGUUCUUGGCUGUCCUUGAGACAGUGUCUUGGCAGGUAGUACUAUAAUCACUCCAUGAACAUGGGGACACCCGAGUUUGGAUAAGGUGAGCAGUGUGCUCGAGGUCAGUCGGCAGAGGGCAGAGUUGGAUUUGAAGGUGAGGUCGUGUUUGUGGGGCCACUAUUUUUAAUCACUGUACUAGAGGCACCACAGAGAGUGUAGAGAAAACAGAACUGCAAGGCCUGAGUGCCUUAAAGAGAGGUUUUCAGAAUCAGGACCCAGCACGCUUAUUCUUGCUGCAGUGCCUUAACACAGCGGUAAAACAUCCCAUGGGAAACUGUGACUGCAAGACCCGGGGGAUGUUCCUUCUCAGCCCAUGCCCUGCCCAUGCCCCAAGUAAAAGCAGUUUUAGGGAAGACUAGUGUCCCAGGAAUCAUGGUAUUAAAGAGUUGUUGGGCGUGGUGGCUCAUGCCUGUAAUCCCAGCUGCUCUGGAGGCUGAGGCAGGAGAAUCGCUGGAACCCAGGAGGCAGAGGUUGCGGUGAGCCGAGAUCGUGCCAUUGCACUCCAGCCUGGACAACAAGAGCCAAAUUCCAUCUCAAAAAAAAAAAAAAAAAAAAAAAUUAACCUUUCAAAGCAAGAUGGUUUUAGCCAUAAAUUUUCAUAGCAACAGAGGACAGCACAUACCAGUGACAGAACCGAUACUUUGAAUCAAGCCAGCCAGAGGGGUCUACACCCCCUUCCACUGCAGACACCAAAACACAGGACGCCAUUCUCCAUUUCCUGCCAUUUCCAAAGAAGAAUGGACAAAGUAAGCUUGAGGUUAAUGAAAGCAGCCUCAGGACGUUGAGUUCCUAGUCUCAGUUCAAACAGCUAUUUGUGUGAGGCUGGGCAAGUCGCUGGGGUGGGCCUCAAUCCCCUCAUCUGAUUUUACCUGAGGUGCCACCAACUCUAGGAAGUCUCCCAUGAUUGUCCAAAGCUGGGAUCCCUCCCUGUGUGGCCCUUACUAUCUAUUUACCUAAUUCCCUUCCUGAGAACGAGCUCCUUCCAGCUAAGAGAAGCUUUCUCAUGACUGUGCCACCUGUGUCUGGCAGAGGGGACAGCACCUGACAGAUGCCUGUCUUAGUGGCUGGGGCUGCCACAACAAAGAAUCACAGCCUGGGGGGCUUAAACACAGACAUGCAUUUCCUCACAGUUCUGGAGGCUGGAAGUCUAAGAUCAAGGUGGGCAGGGCUGGCUUCUCCUGCGGCCUCUCUCUUCGGCUCGUAGACGGCUGUCUUUUCCCUGUGCCUCAGACACUCACCCCUCUGACUGUGUCUGUAACGUAACUUCAUCUUCUUAUAAGGACACCAGUCAGAAUGGAUUAAGGUUCACCCUCAUGGCCUCAUUUUAACUCAAUUACCUCUUUAAAGGCCCUCUCCAAAUAAGAUCACAGUCUGAGGUACGGUGGUUGGGCUUCAACAUAUAAAUUUGAAGAAUCUUAAUUUAGACCACAAGGGGGUCUCACAUGUUUCAGGUGAAUGGACUGAAUCUCAGCCUGCAGUUCAAUGGGGUCACAUCGAUGUGAAAGAUGAAUUUCAGCUGUGGGUUGGCCUCAGCUAGUUGGCUUUGGCUCUCCUCUGCCCACUUAUUUCCAAGAGUCUGGAAGAAUCUCAGGAGAGCUCAGGGAACCUGGAACAAACACCUACUGCUGGCCCCCACUGCUGCCACUCCUGCUCCCUCCUGAUGGCAGGGUCCCCGUCUCCCCCAGUCAUAGACACGCGGAUGAGCCCCCAUCUCCCUGGCUGACCCACUGCCUCCUGAGCCCAAGUCUCUUUGGCUGAGGCCCCAGUACAUACCAACAGCAUUUUCAAAAUGACUCCUUCACAAUUUCUCUUUAACGCCAGACACCAAAGUCCCCCAGACCUGUCUCUGGAACAAAUACUCUUACCUUUUCUACUUGAACUAAACUUUCAAAAAAAAAAAAAAAAAAAAAUUUGGAACCUGAUGCCAUAGACAAGCUCUGAGCUUCUGUAUAUUUGGAAAUUCUGAAUCUAAUUGAAUAGCAUGAACUUGUCUUUUCCACAAAGGAUUUGAGGCACUGUGUUUUUAAGUGACUAAGCCCACGUCCCUCUCCAGACACCACCUGGGGCUUGGCAAUGAGGAUGCUGGUGGGGGUUUAAUAUGGUCACACAGAAGCCAGAGAACCAACAAGG
Symphalangus syndactylus (siamang) is the source of this 3016-nucleotide long non-coding RNA. RefSeq lists it as uncharacterized. Lineage: Eukaryota; Metazoa; Chordata; Mammalia; Primates; Hylobatidae. The record is from RefSeq and is a predicted model, not a curated record.